RNAcentral lists this ribosomal RNA (446 nucleotides) under uncultured bacterium. RNAcentral describes it as "partial 16S ribosomal RNA". It matches the Rfam family "Bacterial small subunit ribosomal RNA", at positions 338 to 795 of the family's 1533-position model. The record is from RNAcentral.
CCUACGGGUGGCAGCAGUCGAGAAUCAUUCACAAUGGGGGAAACCCUGAUGGUGCGACGCCGCGUGGGGGAAUGAAGGUCUUCGGAUUGUAAACCCCUGUCAUGUGGGAGCAAAUUAAAAAGAUAGUACCACAAGAGGAAGAGACGGCUAACUCUGUGCCAGCAGCCGCGGUAAUACAGAGGUCUCAAGCGUUGUUCGGAAUCACUGGGCGUAAAGCGUGCGUAGGCUGUUUCGUAAGUCGUGUGUGAAAGGCGCGGGCUCAACCCGCGGACGGCACAUGAUACUGCGAGACUAGAGUAAUGGAGGGGGAACCGGAAUUCUCGGUGUAGCAGUGAAAUGCGUAGAUAUCGAGAGGAACACUCGUGGCGAAGGCGGGUUCCUGGACAUUAACUGACGCUGAGGCACGAAGGCCAGGGGAGCGAAAAGGAUUAGAUACCCGAGUAGUC